AGAGUUUGAUCAUGGCUCAGAACGAACGCUGGCGGCAGGCUUAACACAUGCAAGUCGAACGCACCGCAAGGUGAGUGGCAGACGGGUGAGUAACGCGUGGGAACGUGCCCUUCAGUUCGGGAUAACCCAGGGAAACUUGGGCUAAUACCGGAUACGUGCGAGAGCAGAAAGAUUUAUCGCUGAAGGAUCGGCCCGCGUCUGAUUAGCUAGUUGGUGGGGUAAUGGCCCACCAAGGCGACGAUCAGUAGCUGGUCUGAGAGGAUGAUCAGCCACACUGGGACUGAGACACGGCCCAAACUCCUACGGGAGGCAGCAGUGGGGAAUAUUGGACAAUGGGCGCAAGCCUGAUCCAGCCAUGCCGCGUGAGUGAUGAAGGCCUUAGGGUUGUAAAGCUCUUUCGUCCGGGACGAUAAUGACGGUACCGGAAGAAGAAGCCCCGGCUAACUUCGUGCCAGCAGCCGCGGUAAUACGAAGGGGGCUAGCGUUGUUCGGAAUCACUGGGCGUAAAGGGCGCGUAGGCGGCCUGAUAAGUCGGGGGUGAAAGCCUGUGGCUCAACCACAGAAUUGCCUUCGAUACUGUCGGGCUUGAGACCGGAAGAGGUAAGUGGAACUGCGAGUGUAGAGGUGAAAUUCGUAGAUAUUCGCAAGAACACCAGUGGCGAAGGCGGCUUACUGGUCCGGUUCUGACGCUGAGGCGCGAAAGCGUGGGGAGCAAACAGGAUUAGAUACCCUAGUAGUCC
This 740-nucleotide ribosomal RNA is filed under the name uncultured bacterium. RNAcentral describes it as "bacterial SSU rRNA". It matches the Rfam family "Bacterial small subunit ribosomal RNA", at positions 8 to 796 of the family's 1533-position model. The record is from RNAcentral.